This 500-nucleotide ribosomal RNA is filed under the name uncultured Glomeromycotina. RNAcentral's name for it is "partial small subunit ribosomal RNA". It matches the Rfam family "Eukaryotic small subunit ribosomal RNA", at positions 591 to 1092 of the family's 1831-position model. The record is from RNAcentral. Lineage: Eukaryota; Fungi; Glomeromycota.
CCAAUAGCGUAUAUUAAAGUUGUUGCAGUUAAAAAGCUCGUAGUUGAAUUUCGGGAUCAAUUUAUUGGUCGUGCCAACGGUACGCACUGGUACAAUUGGUUUCUCCCUUCUGACGAAGCAUGAUGUCAUUAACUUGGUGUCGUGGGGAAUCAGGACUGUUACUUUGAAAAAAUUAGAGUGUUUAAAGCAGGCUUUGGCUUGAAUACAUUAGCAUGGAAUAAUGAAAUAGGACGUUUGAUCUUAUUUCGUUGGUUUCUAAGAUCGACGUAAUGAUUAAUAGGGAUAGUUGGGGGCAUUAGUAUUCAAUUGUCAGAGGUGAAAUUCUUGGAUUUAUUGAAGACUAACUACUGCGAAAGCAUUUGCCAAGGAUGUUUUCAUUAAUCAAGAACGAAAGUUAGGGGAUCGAAAACGAUCAGAUACCGUCGUAGUCUUAACCAUAAACUAUGCCGACUAGGGAUCGGAUGAUGUUAAUUUUUUAAUGACUCAUUCGGCGCCUUACG